CCACACACGAUCCAAGAUCGACACUUUUUGUGAACUGUUAACUUUUUUCCUUCGAUUGUUGCUUGAUGUUUUGACACUGUCAAAGGUGUUGAAAAGAAGAGACGACAGGAAGAGGAGAAUAUAUUAAACACCAACCCAAAACACAACACUGAAUUAUUCAAUGGAACAUAAAUGUUAUAAAGAGUUCGUCUCCUUAUAACGCUAGAUUAUAAUUGUAAAA
RNAcentral lists this unclassified non-coding RNA (220 nucleotides) under uncultured fungus. Its description in RNAcentral is "sequence contains ITS1, 5.8S rRNA gene". Lineage: Eukaryota; Fungi. The record is from RNAcentral.